RNAcentral lists this ribosomal RNA (429 nucleotides) under Chloroflexota bacterium. Its description in RNAcentral is "Chloroflexi bacterium partial 16S ribosomal RNA". It matches the Rfam family "Bacterial small subunit ribosomal RNA", at positions 355 to 776 of the family's 1533-position model. The record is from RNAcentral. Lineage: Bacteria; Bacillati; Chloroflexota.
UGGGGAAUAUUGCACAAUGGGCGCAAGCCUGAUGCAGCCAUGCCGCGUGUGUGAAGAAGGCCUUCGGGUUGUAAAGCACUUUCAGCGGGGAGGAAGGCGUUAAGGUUAAUAACCUUGGCGAUUGACGUUACCCGCAGAAGAAGCACCGGCUAACUCCGUGCCAGCAGCCGCGGUAAUACGGAGGGUGCAAGCGUUAAUCGGAAUUACUGGGCGUAAAGCGCACGCAGGCGGUCUGUCAAGUCGGAUGUGAAAUCCCCGGGCUCAACCUGGGAACUGCAUUCGAAAGUGGUAGGCUAGAGUCUUGUAGGAGGGGGUAGAAUUCCAGGUGUAGCGGUGAAAUGCGUAGAGAUCAGGAGGAAUACCGGUGGCGAAGGCGGCCCCCUAGACAAAGACUGACGCUCAGGUGCGAAAGCGUGGGGAGCAAACAGG